AGGGCCGCGGUAAUUUGACCGUGCGAAGGUAGCAUAAUCAGUAGUCUUUUAAUUGAAGACUUGAAUGAACGGUUGAAUGAGGGACAAUCUGUCUUUUUUUCAAGAAUAGAAUUUAACUUUUAAGUGAAAAGGCUUAGAUAUUUUGAGGGGACGAUAAGACCCUAUAAAACUUUAUAUAGUCUUUUUAGUGCUAAAGAGUGUGUUUAAAUUAGUUCUAACUUAUCUGUAUUUCGUUGGGGAAACGUUGAUAUAAUGAUUAAUUGUUUGUUUAUUUUAAUAAUUGUAAUUAGAUUUUGAUCCUUUAUUAUAGAUUACAAGAUUAAGUUACUUUAGGGAUAACAGCGUAAUUUUCUUUGAGAGUUCUUAUCGACAAGAUUAGUUGCGACCUCGAUGUUGAAUUAAAACUUCAGGUUGGUGUAGCCGCUAAUCUGGUGGGUCUGUUCGACCUUUAAAGUUUU
This 458-nucleotide ribosomal RNA is filed under the name Onycocaridella inermis. Its description in RNAcentral is "Onycocaridella sp. 1 AS-2020 partial large subunit ribosomal RNA". It matches the Rfam family "Bacterial large subunit ribosomal RNA", at positions 1927 to 2597 of the family's 2925-position model. The record is from RNAcentral. Lineage: Eukaryota; Metazoa; Arthropoda; Malacostraca; Decapoda; Palaemonidae.